UACGGGGGGGGCAAGCGUUGUUCGGAAUUACUGGGCGUAAAGGGUUCGUAGGUGGCCUGCUAAGUCAGACGUGAAAUCCCUCAGCUUAACUGGGGAACUGCGUCUGAGACUGGUGGGCUUGAGUGCAGGAGAGGAACGCGGAAUUCCAGGUGUAGCGGUGAAAUGCGUAGAUAUCUGGAGGAACACCGGUGGCGAAGGCGGCGUUCUGGACUGUUACUGACACUGAUGAACGAAAGCCGGGGGAGCAAACGGG
RNAcentral lists this ribosomal RNA (253 nucleotides) under uncultured bacterium. RNAcentral's name for it is "partial 16S ribosomal RNA". It matches the Rfam family "Bacterial small subunit ribosomal RNA", at positions 524 to 776 of the family's 1533-position model. The record is from RNAcentral.